GAUGAAGAACGUAGCGAAAUGCGAUACGUAAUGUGAAUUGCAGAAUUCAGUGAAUCAUCGAAUCUUUGAACGCAUAUUGCGCUCUCUGGUAUUCCGGAGAGCAUGCUUGUUUGAGUAUCAGUAAACUCCUCAACUCCCUUUUCUUUUUUGAAAUUGGAGCUGGACUUGAGUGAUCCCAACGCUUUCUUCCAAGAAAGUGGCGGGUUGCUUGAAAUGCAGGUGCAGCUGAACUUUUCUCUGAGCUAUAAGCAUAUCUAUUUAGUCUGCCUAAAAAACAGAUUAUUACCUUUGCUGCAGCUAACAUAAAGGAGACUAGUUCUUGUGCUGACUGAUGCAGGAUUCACAGAGACAGCUUCGGCUGACUUUGUAAACUCGAUCUCAAAUCAAGUAAGACUACCCGCUGAACUUAAGCAUAUCAAUAAGCGGAGGA
RNAcentral lists this unclassified non-coding RNA (430 nucleotides) under soil metagenome. Its description in RNAcentral is "partial contains 5.8S ribosomal RNA, internal transcribed spacer 2, and large subunit ribosomal RNA". The stretch from base 1 to 120 matches the Rfam family "5.8S ribosomal RNA", at positions 35 to 154 of the family's 154-position model. The record is from RNAcentral.